Molecule: ribosomal RNA, 497 nt
Filed under: uncultured bacterium
Lineage: Bacteria
Description: partial 16S ribosomal RNA
Rfam family: Bacterial small subunit ribosomal RNA
Source: RNAcentral
GAUGAACGCUGGCGGCGUGCCUAAUACAUGCAAGUCGAGCGAACGGACGAGAAGCUUGCUUCUCUGAUGUUAGCGGCGGACGGGUGAGUAACACGUGGAUAACCUACCUAUAAGACUGGGAUAACUUCGGGAAACCGGAGCUAAUACCGGAUAAUAUUUUGAACCGCAUGGUUCAAAAGUGAAAGACGGUCUUGCUGUCACUUAUAGAUGGAUCCGCGCUGCAUUAGCUAGUUGGUAAGGUAACGGCUUACCAAGGCAACGAUGCGUAGCCGACCUGGGAGGGGGGUCGGCGGCCCGGGAGGGGAGACGGGGUCGAGGCUGCUAGGGGAGGCAGCAGUAGGGAAUGUGGCGCAGAGGGCGAAAGCAUGACGGAGCAGGGCCGCGGGAGUGAUGAAGGUCUUCGGAGCGGAAAGCUGUGUUAUGGGGGAAGAACAUAUGUGUAAGGAGCUGUGGAGAUCUUGACGGUACCUGAUGAGAAAGCCACGGCUAACUACGUG